GCGGUCAGUUUCUCAAUAAACUUAUGUUUACUUAAAGACUAUGAAAAAAACAUUUGAACACACAAAAAAAGAGAAAAGCCUAUGACUGAAUUAGUAGAUGGAUAUAGCCUUGUGCGUGUGUAGUUCUCAGUAAGUCACAGUGCGACGACUAUCAUUAGAAGCUGUGAUAUAUUUCAGCUGAGACCGCAGCAGUCAACAGAGGCCGCCAUUCACUACUUCCUCUCUUACUUUUAUGCUCCUCUCUGUUUAACUUUUAACCCUCUCUUAUUUAUUCAUAAUCCUCUUUUUUCUCUCAGCUCCCUCCCUUUUUCAACUCAACACUUUCUCCGUCUAUUCUUGACCCUCCUCUGCUUUACAAUUACGUCUCUCUCUCUCUCAUCAUCACUCGCAGCUCUCUCUUUAACUCUCAACCCCUCUCUCAUUCUAAACUAUUACUCUCGAAUAACUCAACCCUCUCUCUUUCGUUUUUAACCUGUCCUUUCUUAUGCACAACCUUCUCACCCCCUCAUUUUUCAAUUGUCUUCCUCUUACUCACUGUUACUGUCAACCCUCUUUUUCUUACUCACAACUCCCGCUCCUUCACUCUUUUUGUCUCUUCAUUCUGAUAUAUUCUCUUUCUUCUCAUCUCUUUAUCCCGCUCUGUCUUUCUCUAUUUUUCGUCAUCCACUGCAACUCGUUCGGUAGAUCUCUUAUUCGUGUAUUCUUUCUUAGUUAAAAAAUAAUCAGGAGGAAAAAAAAACGCAAAACAAUCGACAAUAACAGACAAAAAAAUUUAUUCCCUCAGUUUAUUCAUUUAUUCGUUUAUUCAUUUCGAACAGGUUUUCUCUAUUCCCUCUAUUCGUUCAUUCAUUUCCGAACGCGUGUUAUUGUUUCACGUCAACUGAAAACCCGUAAGAAGAGUACUAAAUUGUCGAACGCUGGUAAUAUAAUAAUAAUGGUUGCUAUUGACUGCUUCUUCUUCUGCUGCUGGUUUACUUAAUUAGCUUCGUCGGGGGGAAAGAGAGAGAAAGAGAGUGAGAAAGACAGAAAGUGAGAAAGAAAGAAAGAAAAGGAGAGAGUGAGAGAGAGAGAAAAAAAAAAGCACAAAAUAAAAACAAAACAAAAAUUGACUGUGAAUUGGACGAUGGAUGUGGAACAGUUCUGAAAAAUAUAAUAUAACGGAGUUUAAAUGCCGGAUAAAAUAUUUUAGGGUUUUAAACCUGAACAGCUUUUUUCUUUCUUUCAUAGUAAUAUCUUCUGGCUUUUAAAAGCAGUGAGUAAUUUUCCACACCGGAGUUUUUACAAAUAACAGUUUGGAUUCUGGUCAAUGCGUGUUGCCUAGGAAUAAAUAAAAAUAUAUAAUAAUAAUAAUAAACUAGAAAGAAGAGAUUCUGAAAUUGCAACAAAUUGACUCUGAUCUGAAGAGUAUGUUCUAGGUUUCUGUUUCUACUUCAAGUCCAUCAAUGUAGGGACUUAUCCUGCAUAUCCUGUUCUAAAGAGAUCUUACUCGGGGAGAUCUCUUCUUUCAUAGAGCAGGAGACAAUGAAUUAAUGCUAAACAGUUACCCUUGUAGAGUGGCUAAC
Long non-coding RNA from Octopus bimaculoides (California two-spot octopus), 1562 nucleotides. Lineage: Eukaryota; Metazoa; Mollusca; Cephalopoda; Octopoda; Octopodidae. The record is from RefSeq and is a predicted model, not a curated record.